This 462-nucleotide long non-coding RNA is filed under the name Homo sapiens (human). RNAcentral's name for it is "non-protein coding lnc-PPP1R42-1:6". The record is from RNAcentral. Lineage: Eukaryota; Metazoa; Chordata; Mammalia; Primates; Hominidae.
GGAGUUAGCUACCGGACUGUCCCGCGAGCGCUGCUCGGGAGACUGAGGCAGAAGAAUCGCUUGAACCCAGAAGGCAGAGGUUGCAGUGUGCCGAAAUCGCACCACUGAACUCCAACCUGAGCAACAGACCAAGACUCCAUCUCAGGAAAAAAAAAAAAAAAAAGCACUUGAAAAAUGACAGAAAGUUGGAAAUAAUACCUAAACCUACUUCUUGACAUGGUGUCAAAACAGAGCUUUUGCUGAGAGUUUGAUUUAUAAAGAAAUUAUGGUUCGACUGACCUUGGAUCUAAUUGCCAGAAACAGCAAUCUUAAACCCCGAAAAGAAGAAACCAUUUCACAGUGCCUGAAGAAAAUAACUCAUAUAAAUUUUUCAGACAAAAAUAUAGAUGCAAUUGAAGACCUCUCUCUUUGCAAAAAUCUUAGUGUUUUAUAUUUAUAUGAUAAUUGUAUUAGUCAAAUCAC